This 1519-nucleotide ribosomal RNA is filed under the name Lacticaseibacillus rhamnosus. Its description in RNAcentral is "bacterial SSU rRNA". It matches the Rfam family "Bacterial small subunit ribosomal RNA". The record is from RNAcentral. Lineage: Bacteria; Bacillati; Bacillota; Bacilli; Lactobacillales; Lactobacillaceae.
GAGUUUUGAUCAUGGCUCAGGAUGAACGCUGGCGGCGUGCCUAAUACAUGCAAGUCGAACGAGUUCUGAUUAUUGAAAGGUGCUUGCAUCUUGAUUUAAUUUUGAACGAGUGGCGGACGGGUGAGUAACACGUGGGUAACCUGCCCUUAAGUGGGGGAUAACAUUUGGAAACAGAUGCUAAUACCGCAUAAAUCCAAGAACCGCAUGGUUCUUGGCUGAAAGAUGGCGUAAGCUAUCGCUUUUGGAUGGACCCGCGGCGUAUUAGCUAGUUGGUGAGGUAACGGCUCACCAAGGCAAUGAUACGUAGCCGAACUGAGAGGUUGAUCGGCCACAUUGGGACUGAGACACGGCCCAAACUCCUACGGGAGGCAGCAGUAGGGAAUCUUCCACAAUGGACGCAAGUCUGAUGGAGCAACGCCGCGUGAGUGAAGAAGGCUUUCGGGUCGUAAAACUCUGUUGUUGGAGAAGAAUGGUCGGCAGAGUAACUGUUGUCGGCGUGACGGUAUCCAACCAGAAAGCCACGGCUAACUACGUGCCAGCAGCCGCGGUAAUACGUAGGUGGCAAGCGUUAUCCGGAUUUAUUGGGCGUAAAGCGAGCGCAGGCGGUUUUUUAAGUCUGAUGUGAAAGCCCUCGGCUUAACCGAGGAAGUGCAUCGGAAACUGGGAAACUUGAGUGCAGAAGAGGACAGUGGAACUCCAUGUGUAGCGGUGAAAUGCGUAGAUAUAUGGAAGAACACCAGUGGCGAAGGCGGCUGUCUGGUCUGUAACUGACGCUGAGGCUCGAAAGCAUGGGUAGCGAACAGGAUUAGAUACCCUGGUAGUCCAUGCCGUAAACGAUGAAUGCUAGGUGUUGGAGGGUUUCCGCCCUUCAGUGCCGCAGCUAACGCAUUAAGCAUUCCGCCUGGGGAGUACGACCGCAAGGUUGAAACUCAAAGGAAUUGACGGGGGCCCGCACAAGCGGUGGAGCAUGUGGUUUAAUUCGAAGCAACGCGAAGAACCUUACCAGGUCUUGACAUCUUUUGAUCACCUGAGAGAUCAGGUUUCCCCUUCGGGGGCAAAAUGACAGGUGGUGCAUGGUUGUCGUCAGCUCGUGUCGUGAGAUGUUGGGUUAAGUCCCGCAACGAGCGCAACCCUUAUGACUAGUUGCCAGCAUUUAGUUGGGCACUCUAGUAAGACUGCCGGUGACAAACCGGAGGAAGGUGGGGAUGACGUCAAAUCAUCAUGCCCCUUAUGACCUGGGCUACACACGUGCUACAAUGGAUGGUACAACGAGUUGCGAGACCGCGAGGUCAAGCUAAUCUCUUAAAGCCAUUCUCAGUUCGGACUGUAGGCUGCAACUCGCCUACACGAAGUCGGAAUCGCUAGUAAUCGCGGAUCAGCACGCCGCGGUGAAUACGUUCCCGGGCCUUGUACACACCGCCCGUCACACCAUGAGAGUUUGUAACACCCGAAACCGGUGGCGUAACCCUUUUAGGGAGCGAGCCGUCUAAAGUGGGACAAAUGAUUAGGGUGAAGUCGU